Molecule: ribosomal RNA, 290 nt
Filed under: uncultured bacterium
Lineage: Bacteria
Description: partial 16S ribosomal RNA
Rfam family: Bacterial small subunit ribosomal RNA
Source: RNAcentral
GUGGAUUAGAUACCCUGGUAGUCCACGCCGUAAACGAUGGGUACUAGGCGUCGGGGGGAGCGACCCUCCCGGUGCCGUCGCUAACGCAGUAAGUACCCCGCCUGGGGAGUACGGCCGCAAGGCUGAAACUCAAAGGAAUUGACGGGGGCCCGCACAAGCGGUGGAGCAUGUGGUUUAAUUCGAAGCAACGCGAAGAACCUUACCUGGGCUUGACAUGCACGGGAAAGCCGGUGGAAACAUCGGUCCCUCUUCGGAGUCCGUGCACAGGUGCUGCACGGCUGUCGCCAACU